Molecule: ribosomal RNA, 211 nt
Filed under: Escherichia coli
Lineage: Bacteria; Pseudomonadati; Pseudomonadota; Gammaproteobacteria; Enterobacterales; Enterobacteriaceae
Description: partial 16S ribosomal RNA
Rfam family: Bacterial small subunit ribosomal RNA
Source: RNAcentral
UUAAAUUGAAGAGUUUGAUCAUGGCUCAGAUUGAACGCUGGCGGCAGGCCUAACACAUGCAAGUCGAACGGUAACAGGAAGCAGCUUGCUGCUUCGCUGACGAGUGGCGGACGGGUGAGUAAUGUCUGGGAAACUGCCUGAUGGAGGGGGAUAACUACUGGAAACGGUAGCUAAUACCGCAUAACGUCGCAAGACCAAAGAGGGGGACCUU